AUUGAACGCUGGCGGCAGGCUUAACACAUGCAAGUCGAGCGGGGGAAGGUAGCUUGCUCCCGGACCUAGCGGCGGACGGGUGAGUAAUGCUUAGGAAUCUGCCUAUUAGUGGGGGACAACAUCUCGAAAGGGAUGCUAAUACCGCAUACGUCCUACGGGAGAAAGCAGGGGAUCUUCGGACCUUGCGCUAAUAGAUGAGCCUAAGUCGGAUUAGCUAGUUGGUGGGGUAAAGGCCUACCAAGGCGACGAUCUGUAGCGGGUCUGAGAGGAUGAUCCGCCACACUGGGACUGAGACACGGCCCAGACUCCUACGGGAGGCAGCAGUGGGGAAUAUUGGACAAUGGGGGGAACCCUGAUCCAGCCAUGCCGCGUGUGUGAAGAAGGCCUUAUGGUUGUAAAGCACUUUAAGCGAGGAGGAGGCUACUUUAGUUAAUACCGAGAGAUAGUGGACGUUACUCGCAGAAUAAGCACCGGCUAACUCUGUG
Molecule: ribosomal RNA, 485 nt
Filed under: uncultured bacterium
Lineage: Bacteria
Description: partial 16S ribosomal RNA
Rfam family: Bacterial small subunit ribosomal RNA
Source: RNAcentral